RNAcentral lists this ribosomal RNA (490 nucleotides) under Rhinella ornata. Its description in RNAcentral is "partial 12S ribosomal RNA". It matches the Rfam family "Bacterial small subunit ribosomal RNA", at positions 794 to 1522 of the family's 1533-position model. The record is from RNAcentral. Lineage: Eukaryota; Metazoa; Chordata; Amphibia; Anura; Bufonidae.
GCCCAGCCGUAAACUUUAACUUACAUUCAAAUCGCCAGGGAACUACGAGCUAAGCUUAAAACCCAAAGGACUUGACGGUACCCCAUAUCCCCCUAGAGGAGCCUGUUCUAUAAUCGAUAAUCCACGUUUAACCUCACCAUUUUUAGUUAAUCAGCCUGUAUACCUCCGUCGUCAGCUUACCACGUGAGCGCCAAUUAGUGAGCUUAAUGUCUUUCACCAACACGUCAGGUCAAGGUGCAGCAAAUGAAAUGGGAAGAGAUGGGCUACACUUUCUAUAUUAGAAAAAACGAAAAACUACUUAUGAAAACUAGUUGGAAGGCGGAUUUAGCAGUAAAAAGGAAUCAGAAUGUCCCUUUUAACCCGGCACUGGGGUGUGUACACACCGCCCGUCACCCUCUUCAAAGCUUAUAACCUAGUUCUUAACAAACUAAAGCAUGACAGAAUAGGCAAGUCGUAACAUGGUAAGUAUACCGGAAGGUGUGCUUGGAAA